Molecule: long non-coding RNA, 458 nt
Filed under: Citrus x clementina
Lineage: Eukaryota; Viridiplantae; Streptophyta; Magnoliopsida; Sapindales; Rutaceae
Description: Citrus clementina (C. clementina) long non-coding RNA (CCLE_LNC003649)
Source: RNAcentral
UAAAUACAUAAUCUAAAUAAAAUAAAAAAAUAAUAUAUAUUACAUUCACAUUAAACGUUUUAUAAUAAUAGUCCUUAAAUUUUCUAUUCUUGUGAUUUAGUGCCAUUAAUAUUGUAAUACUCAUCUUGAAUGUCAUUGUCUCUUACUAAUCCUUCAUCAAAUAUUGAAUUACGAUUAUUUUCAAUAUUGUCAAAAUAAGGAUCAUAUUGUGCAUGCCUUCUCAUAGAAUUAUGCAAUGUUAUGGUUGUAAUGACAUAAUUUUUAUUAGCAUAAUUUGAUUGUAAUGGUAAUAUGAUAUCUAAUGAUUUAUAAUUUAGGCUUUGUAGAAUAAUAAGACAUAAUUACUUUUUGUUAAAUAUUAAGAUUAUAAUAGAAACUUUAGAAAGGUUUGGUUGUUUAUUUAAUAAGGGGUAAAAGCUCGUUUAGUCCCUAUAUUUUGAAGUUAAUGCUCGUUUAGU